AUUAAGUUUAUUUUUCAGUUUUUAGAUAUAAUAUUUUGACUUUUCGUCUUAUUUGAAAUUUUUUUGCGUUUAAUAUUUUUAUUGUUACUGGAUGGUAAAACAUGAAUAAUACUUUAUGUGUGAUUAAUUUCUUUUAAGUUUUUAUACAAUUUUUUUAAAAAUGACGAAUGGUCAAACUUUGAAUACAUAAAUCAAAAAAUAAAGUUAUU
RNAcentral lists this microRNA precursor (209 nucleotides) under Oryza brachyantha (malo sina). Its description in RNAcentral is "MIR812 microRNA precursor family". It matches the Rfam family "MIR812 microRNA precursor family". Lineage: Eukaryota; Viridiplantae; Streptophyta; Magnoliopsida; Poales; Poaceae. The record is from Rfam by way of RNAcentral.